RNAcentral lists this ribosomal RNA (253 nucleotides) under uncultured bacterium. RNAcentral's name for it is "partial 16S ribosomal RNA". It matches the Rfam family "Bacterial small subunit ribosomal RNA", at positions 524 to 776 of the family's 1533-position model. The record is from RNAcentral.
UACGUAGGGAGCGAGCGUUGUCCGGAAUUACUGGGCGUAAAGGGUGCGUAGGCGGCAAGGCAAGUCAGAUGUGAAAUCCCCGGGCUUAACUCGGGGGGUGCAUUUGAAACUGCCUCGCUAGAGUCCCGGAGAGGAAGGCGGAAUUCCCGGUGUAGAGGUGAAAUUCGUAGAUAUCGGGAGGAACACCAGUGGCGAAGGCGGCCUUCUGGACGGUGACUGACGCUGAGAUGCGAAAGCGUGGGGAGCAAACAGG